GCUCUAGCUUUCUAUUGACUCCUCCUUGUGUCUCAUCUAUCAGAAUGAUGUUUUCUCAACUUGCGAUUUUUUUGGAAUAUGUCUUCAAUUUGAAGUGCUAUAGGGCAAAGAUGUUUGCGUGGUGAAAUUUAGACUAUUUUUUUGUUUGCAUUUGUUGGUUUUUUGGACUAAAAUUGUUAGGUUGUUGAAAGUGAUAUGAGACAACUUUCAAAACAUAAUUUUUUUGUUCAGCUACCUUUUGUGUUUGCUGUUCCAGCUCAUUUUAGAAAUCUUGGAAACUAAAUCUUUUAAUUGUAAGAAUCCCUGUUUCCUUCCAAAUUUUUACUUGUUCCAUCCUUUUUUUUUAGUUCCAUCCCUGUAUUAGCUUUUCACCACUCUCUUGGGAUUGAAGGAAAACAUUAUAUAUAGGGCCAGGGGUGGAAGGGGAGGGGUGGCAGAGAAAGAGAGAAAAUUAGUUAUUCACUAUAAUUGAAAAUUGAAAUGCAUCAUGACUGAUGGUGGUUGUAUUCUUUUUUACCCUUUCUUUCCCUCUUCCAACAUUUCUUUCCUACUUUGGACUUUAAUCAUGUUUGGUGGCCUGGGCUAACCACAGUAAUCAGAUUCGCUCACCUCCUUGGAUUCUAUGAUCUGGGCUGUGCUUUCCAAUUUGCAGGACAUUUAUGUCCCAUAUUGCUAAGGUACCCUAAACAGGGGUUCUAAUCCAAAUAAGGAAAAGAAGAAAGAAAGAAGAAGGAGAAGAGGAAGAGGCAACAGCAAUGCACAGGAGAAGCAGAAGAAGCGAUGUAAGAAGAAGAAAAAGAAAACUAUGUCAAGGAGGAGAAAAGGAUAAAUUGGGACUUUUUUAUCUUUUAUUUUUUUAUCGUUGGUGGGGUUAUGUGAGAGAGUAACUAGUUGACUUCAUAGGUGACAGUUUCUAGGAGAUACAAACAAUAAUAACUAUUAAUUAUAUUCUUUAAUUAUUUAAAAUUAUAUUAUUUUUUUAAAAAUG
This 988-nucleotide unclassified non-coding RNA is filed under the name Hevea brasiliensis (rubber tree). Lineage: Eukaryota; Viridiplantae; Streptophyta; Magnoliopsida; Malpighiales; Euphorbiaceae. The record is from RNAcentral.